This 627-nucleotide ribosomal RNA is filed under the name uncultured bacterium. Its description in RNAcentral is "bacterial SSU rRNA". It matches the Rfam family "Bacterial small subunit ribosomal RNA", at positions 219 to 842 of the family's 1533-position model. The record is from RNAcentral.
UGACGGAUGGGCAUGCGGCGCAUUAGGUAGUUGGUAGGGUAACGGCCUACCAAGCCGACGAUGCGUAGGGGUUCUGAGAGGAAGGUCCCCCACAUUGGAACUGAGACACGGUCCAAACUCCUACGGGAGGCAGCAGUGAGGAAUAUUGGUCAAUGGCCGGAAGGCUGAACCAGCCAAGUCGCGUGAGGGAAUAAGGCCCUAUGGGUCGUAAACCUCUUUUGUCAGGGAGCAAAGGCGUCCACGUGUGGACGAGAGGAGAGUACCUGAAGAAAAAGCAUCGGCUAACUCCGUGCCAGCAGCCGCGGUAAUACGGAGGAUGCGAGCGUUAUCCGGAUUUAUUGGGUUUAAAGGGUGCGUAGGCGGAGUGUCAAGUCAGCGGUAAAAUUUCGGGGCUCAACCCCGUCGUGCCGUUGAAACUGACACCCUUGAGUGAGUGAGAAGUAAGCGGAAUGCGUGGUGUAGCGGUGAAAUGCAUAGAUAUCACGCAGAACGCCGAUUGCGAAGGCAGCUUACCGGCGCUCAACUGACGCUGAGGCACGAAAGUGCGGGUAUCGAACAGGAUUAGAUACCCUGGUAGUCCGCACAGUAAACGAUGAAUGCUAGAUGUCCGGGGCGAAUGAGCUCUGG